AUGUUUUCUUCUAUUGUCUGUGUUUCAUUAUGUGUACGCUCAGAUCAGGUAUCAAAGCUUUGUCUCAUUAGUUACUUUUAUUUUUUUUUGGCUGUCAUGGUCUGCUGCCAGCAGUUGUUAGAGUUGAUAGGAACUGCAAGGGAGCAGAAGAGUUGCCAGACCAGGUCAUCUGCCUCCCAGCCUGCAAAGCCCAGCACUUGUGUCCUGUCUGGCAAGUCAGCUCGGGGGUCCUGCUGCCUUGCCUGGAUGUGUCUAUGCCAUGCAAUGGGGUCCUGUCCCCAGGACCCACUGUUUGCUCCUGUCCCUGUUCUGCCCCCUUGCUUGGGCUGCUGCAGUGCCCCAGGCUCACCCUGUGAAUCGGACCAGGUGACUGACACAGGAUUCCUGGAUGAAAUACGCAUGGAAAAUUCCAAGGCAUCGUAUCUGAUCAAAUCGAUCUGUUUUCAACUUGGAUACCCGCCCAGCUAGACGCCUGAGAGCUUUUCACCCAGAUGAGCUCAUCUCUACCAUACUGACGUAGAAGAAUUUGAUAUCACCAUUUUAAGGUUUUUCUAAAACAGUAAGAAGUCAAAGACAGCCUGAGGAGCAAGCCUUGGCACACAAUAGCAUAGAUCUGUCAGACUGUCCACUAGAUGGAAGUGUUAUCCGGUCCCUGUGUGGGCGAUGUACAAAUCAUCUAUUGCAACACGGGCAGAAACGUCCCACAGACGGGAGAGCCUGCAGAAGUCCCACUCAGAAUGCCUUCCUGUCUGCUUCCAGCACUCUCAGGUCCCCUUUGAGCAGAGCGGCACGGUAAGGGGACCAACACAGCAU
Long non-coding RNA from Anser brachyrhynchus (Pink-footed goose), 813 nucleotides. Lineage: Eukaryota; Metazoa; Chordata; Aves; Anseriformes; Anatidae. The record is from Ensembl.